GAUGAACGCUGGCGGCGUGCCUAAUACAUGCAAGUCGAGCGAACAGACGAGGAGCUUGCUCCUCUGACGUUAGCGGCGGACGGGUGAGUAACACGUGGAUAACCUACCUAUAAGACUGGGAUAACUUCGGGAAACCGGAGCUAAUACCGGAUAAUAUAUUGAACCGCAUGGUUCAAUAAUGAAAGACGGUUUUGCUGUCACUUAUAGAUGGAUCCGCGCCGCAUUAGCUAGUUGGUAAGGUAACGGCUUACCAAGGCAACGAUGCGUAGCCGACCUGAGAGGGUGAUCGGCCACACUGGAACUGAGACACGGUCCAGACUCCUACGGGAGGCAGCAGUAGGGAAUCUUCCGCAAUGGGCGAAAGCUUGACGGAGCAACACCGCGUGAGUGAUGAAGGUCUUCGGAUCGUAAAACUCUGUUAUUAGGGAAGAACAAAUGUGUAAGUAACUAUGCACGUCUUGACGGUACCUAAUCAGAAAGCCACGGCUAACUACGUG
This 497-nucleotide ribosomal RNA is filed under the name uncultured bacterium. RNAcentral describes it as "partial 16S ribosomal RNA". It matches the Rfam family "Bacterial small subunit ribosomal RNA", at positions 28 to 507 of the family's 1533-position model. The record is from RNAcentral.